This 869-nucleotide long non-coding RNA is filed under the name Macaca mulatta (Rhesus monkey). Its description in RNAcentral is "lncRNA (ENSMMUG00000054798.1)". The record is from RNAcentral. Lineage: Eukaryota; Metazoa; Chordata; Mammalia; Primates; Cercopithecidae.
AUGUUACAGAUGAGGAAACUGAGGCACAGGCAAGUUAAGUCACUUGUUCAGGCUCAUGCAGCCAGUAAGCAGAUGAGCUGGGAUUUGAACCUCUGCAGCCAGGCUCUCAAACUUGCACAAUAUUUCUUCUUUCCUACCAGGCACAGCAGUGAUAUUUGGCCCCUGGGAAGUGAAGGGCACCCCCGUAACCUGGUGGGUCCUGGUGCUGAUGGUUGUUGGCAACCUUGCACAGGUGGGGGUGACAGAGGGACCAUGUCACAGAUGAGGAAACAGAGAUGCCGAGGAGUUUGUUUGAUCACUAACAUCACAGUGGCAGGAAUAAUGGUUUGCCACAGUCUCCAGUGGAUGGAGUGCAUUCGUUUUGGUUCUGGGGCUGCCUUGGCUCUCCAAGUGGCCUGGACCACAGGCAACAGGUUGCCAGCCCAAAGAGUUCCCCUCCCUGCCAGCAUGGCCAGCAGUGUGGAUGCUGGUGUUUGGGGCAGUGAGAAGCACAAGCUGUGUGGCCCUGGUAAGUCUCUGCCUCUUGGGCUUGGUGUGCCCACCACAGCUUGGGGGAUCUGAUGGGGGGUGCCCACCAGGCCCCGACCACCAUGACAGACAGCACAGGUGCAGUUCUGGGACCUCAGCAGACCUGGGAAUGCAGACAGGGCCUCAAGGCUGCCGGCUUUGGCGGGCACAUUAAAGGUGGCAUGGGUGAGGGCCUCCGUUAGGGCUUAGGGGCUGAGGGGUCUAAGCCCCCUCAAUGUGGAGGUUCUCCCUUCUUUCUCCAGGGGCCCUGCCAUUAGUCCAGAAGCCUCUUGCUCAAAUUUGCAGUCCAGGCCCUGCUGCUGUCCAUCCUUGAGGCUGGCAGGUGUGCAGGCCCAGCGUGU